Molecule: ribosomal RNA, 370 nt
Filed under: uncultured organism
Description: partial 16S ribosomal RNA
Rfam family: Bacterial small subunit ribosomal RNA
Source: RNAcentral
GUAGGGUGCGAGCGUUAAUCGGAAUUACUGGGCGUAAAGCGUGCGCAGGCGGUUAUGUAAGACAGAUGUGAAAUCCCCGGGGCUCAACCUGGGAACUGCAUUUGUGACUGCAUGGCUAGAGUACGGUAGAGGGGGAUGGAAUUCCGCGUGUAGCAGUGAAAUGCGUAGAUAUGCGGAGGAACACCGAUGGCGAAGGCAAUCCCCUGGACCUGUACUGACGCUCAUGCACGAAAGCGUGGGGAGCAAACAGGAUUAGAUACCCUGGUAGUCCACGCCCUAAACGAUGUCAACUGGUUGUUGGGAAUUAGUUUUCUCAGUAACGAAGCUAACGCGUGAAGUUGACCGCCUGGGGAGUACGGCCGCAAGGUUG